This 24-nucleotide non-coding RNA is filed under the name Arabidopsis thaliana (thale cress). The record is from RNAcentral. Lineage: Eukaryota; Viridiplantae; Streptophyta; Magnoliopsida; Brassicales; Brassicaceae.
GGAUCCACUCUAAGAGGCCUUGAC